This 199-nucleotide long non-coding RNA is filed under the name Carica papaya (papaya). RNAcentral's name for it is "long non-coding RNA (CPAP_LNC003703)". Lineage: Eukaryota; Viridiplantae; Streptophyta; Magnoliopsida; Brassicales; Caricaceae. The record is from RNAcentral.
GAUGAAGUGACUCCAACUUGGACUCAAAAAAGAGGUUAUCCCUAAUUAUCCUAUGCCCGUAAGCUUGCUGCUGCGAGCGUAUGGCGUGUGCUAGAGGCCUCCUUGUGGGUGCGACUUGCGUGCGCGAGUGGCAUUAGUUGUCCGCACAAAUGAGCCCCUUUGUGCGUUCUACUAGGCAUAGGAUCUAUUCCCCCGUACG